RNAcentral lists this long non-coding RNA (41030 nucleotides) under Triticum aestivum (bread wheat). RNAcentral's name for it is "long non-coding RNA (TAES_LNC020315)". Lineage: Eukaryota; Viridiplantae; Streptophyta; Magnoliopsida; Poales; Poaceae. The record is from RNAcentral.
AAAAUGUAACUAUGUUGACAAACCCGUGGGCCCCAAUGUUAGUAUAGCAUUAGGAGGAAGUAUUUUUUUCAAUGAGGCACUUGCUUGCGUACAGUCAUAGACCUGGUGGGUCCCGAUGAUACAUUUCCAACGUAUCUGUCACACCCUAGCUAGUCAUGCAUUAGAGUGUUGCAUCAUGUUUACUCUUUCAUCAGAAACUUGAAAUGGGGAUCUGUGAAACCCUCAGAAUCAUUUUGAAAAUGACCCAAAUAAAAAUUUCUCCAAAAGGGUCCAAGAAAAUGAUCAUGUUGCUCUCUGAAAAUAUUGGACAGAGAUAAAAAUCAAACCAAUAUUUUUAGUGGCUCAUGGACAUUUAUUUUGGGCAUUUGGAAUUAAUGCAUAAAUAUUUGCAUUGGAAAUAUAUUUCUAUAUAUAUUAAUAUAUGUCCAAAUAUUAUGCCAAUUAUAAAGGAGCUCUGGAAUAAUAUAUCUAGCCCCUGCAAAAAUUGGCAUAAGUUAAAUAAAUGAUUUAAUAUAUUAUUUAAAUCAAAACAAAUGUCAGAAAUUAGAAAACAGAAAAAAAAUAAAAGGGAGAAGCUUACCUGGGCUCCUCCCUGUGCAGCCCAUCCAGCUGGCCGGCCCAGCCAGCAGGCGGCCCAGCCCGUCUCCCUCCUCUGUCGUCUUCGUCCCGACAGAGGGAGGGGAGUGUGGCCGGCGCGCGCGCGCGCCACCGCGCCACGCCACCUCUCUCCCUGCCUGCCUGCCCUCCCCUCCUCGCCUCGAUGCCCCUGGACGACGCCACGCCUCCCCCCCUGCUCUCUCUCACUCGCCCCGGCUCUCCCCUCCUCUCCCUCGCUCUCUCCCUCACACGACCGAACACCACCGUCGCCGCCGUUCGCCAUAGCAGCCGUCUCCGGCCACCCCUCGCUCCCCCGACUAGCUCAGAAGCUCCGCCACAACCCCCUCUUCCUCCCCACCGCUUCACGGGCCUCCGGAAGCCCUGUAUCGCCGCCACGUCGCCGUUCCCCUCUUCGGGCUCCGACCAUCAUCGCCGUCGAAUUCGCCGUCUCCAGCGCGUCUCCGAGCAUGCUUCGACGCCCACUGCAACCGCGGUGAGCCCCCGAGUCGUUUCCCCCUUCUUCCCUGGUCUCUUUCGACCUCUAGGCCUUAGCCCCACCUUGGCCGAGAGCUCCACGCCGCCGGCGAUGUCGCCGUCGUGGCCACGGUCACCGUAGCACCCAACCGAGCACACUAUCGUGCUCCACGCCUCACUAGGAGCACGCAGCACGCACCAACGCCUCCCCAAACCCCCUGCAACGCCGACUCCGACCGCACCCGAACUCCGGCCGCCGCUCACGAGCUCGUCAUCGACGGUACCGGCCACCCCAGGCUCGGCCACCACCACCGUUCGACGCGCGGGAGCAAGAGCUCUCCAACGAGCCCAAGAACGGCCUCGCCCGUGCCCUGUAGCGCGAUCCCGCAUCGCGCCGCCGUCUCGGGCCUCGCCGGCGUCACGUCGCCGGUGGGUUUGACCCACUUUGACCACGGCAGGACCCCCCCUGAGUCCCUGACAGGUGGGCCCAGCCCUGUAGCUAAUUAGGAUUAGCGCUAACCACUGUUAGUUAACCCCCUGACACUGACCAGUGGGCCCCAGCGCCACUAAUUAGUAAUUAGGAUUAAUUUAACCCUGUUUAACCCCCCUGUCACUGACGUGUGGGCCCCACACGUCAGGUUUGACCCCAGACAGCCGCAGUUGACCACUGACGUCAUGCUGACGUCAUGCUGGCGCAAUAAUUAUAAUUUCUGGAUUUAAUUUAAAUCAGGAAAUUCCAGAAUAUUAUUUAAACUUCAAAAAUUCAUAACUUUUAUUCUGUAACUCCAAAUUGGACAAAUUAUAUAUGAAAAAUGAUCAGAAAAAUCCAAUCUAUCCAUCUGUACUAUUUUCAUGCAUGAUCAAACAAGUUAAAUUGAUGUUUUAAGCAGAACAAGGAAAAGCACUUUAAAAGGCCAUGUUUGAGUUUGAAAUUUGAAUCUUUGAUUCAAAUUUGUUCAAACCCUUCUGGUUUUAGUUGCAUUAGCCCAACACACUCAUAUUGCCAUGUUUCAUGCAUGCAUCAUAUUGUUGCACAUUGUUUGGUGAUGUUGUGUAUCGAUGUCCUUUGCGACAGGUUCUGCCUCCGAGGAGUACCGUGAUUACCCUAACGAAGAACCGUAUCCGUGCAUCGAACCAUCAGGCAAGCAACCAGCCAUUUGAUCAUAUCGAUACAAUCCCAUGUUCUCGCUCCUGCUCUCUUUUACUGCAUUAAGACAACGCGUUUCAAACUGCUGUGUGCUACGGUAGUUGAACCCAUUUCCUCCGCAUGACCUGUCAUUGCCACAGUAACUAGAUGAAACCCACUAGCAUGUGUAGGAGUUGAUUGAGCCAUAUGUAUGUGUUGUUCCUACCUUGCUAUGCCUGCUAUGCUUAGAGUCGUGUCAGGUCUGGUUCAUCUGGGUGAUGGGCUAGAGUGAAAUGUUAUGUCGGUAAUGAGAGUGGUGUGGUGAACACGAUUUGGUAAAGGUAUCGAUGAGAGGCCAUGUAGGAGUACAUGGUGGGUUGCUUCAUUGAAGCCGACCUUAAGCACUGAGAUCUGUAUGUGUGAUUUAAGAAUCAGCUACUACCAUGCAUUGGGCCCGAAACCAAUGGACCCUCUCGGCUUCUUAUUCACCCUAGUUCUCCGUCCAGGAGUUGCAAGUAGUUUCUGGUGUUUGUAGCCUACUGGAGGCCGUGGACAGCGCUGACCGUAGGGGUGGGCUGUGAUGCGGUAGGUACGUGGCCGGGUGUACCGAAUACCCGUUAGGUAUCUCGGGAACCCUGUUCACAUCGUUCGGGGCCGUAUGGGAAACCUCGGCCGGACUCCCUGCGGAUGGAACCUGAAUAGGCGAUAAACCUGGACUGGAGGCUUAGGUGAUUAGGUAGGUCGUGGCCGACACCCACGUUGGGCUUCCGCUUGAAGGUUGCCGAGUACAUGUCGUGUAAACGACGAUAAGUGGUGAGAGCGUGUAUGAAGAAGUACACCCCUGCAGGGUUAACAUGAUCUAUUCGAAUAGCCGCGUCCGCGGUAAAGGACUACUUGGUUGCCUAUACAGUUCAUAGACAAGUAAAUGGAAACUAUUAAAAGCCUCAAGAUAAGAGUGAGUGCCGAGGAUGGCUCUUCCGUAGGAAGACGGAGGUGGAUCCUCGGUGGUGUAUUGAAGUGGUGAGUAGUGGACUCGUGUGCGCAAAACCAUUUCAAGUUGGAGUAUCGUAGAAUAGCCUAGCCAAGAGUCAAAGCUGGCUUGCUGCAAUAACUCCACCAACCCUUCUUGAUACUAUGCAUGUAUGUAGGAUCUGAUGUAAGUCUUGCUGAGUACCUUUGUACUCAUGUUGCUAUAAUCUACAUUUUUUACAGAAGACGCUGCAACCCCUUCUGAUGGGUUCUAUGUAGACGUUGACAUCAACGAGUAGGCUAAAGACCCAGGUGGUGACCCUGAGCUUGUGAAGGACCACGUAGUAUAGCUAGGCUUUCCAAGCCUCUUUUAUUUUACUAGUUGUCUGUACUCAGACAAGUUACUUCCGUUGCUGGUUUGUAUGACUGUAUGACUUGUAUGUUGGGUCGUGAGACCCGUACCUUUGUGUAUGUUAUGUAUGGCUCACUGAGCCUUAAAUAAAGUACUUGUGUCGUAGAGUCAUGUUGUGAUGCUUCGUUGUAAUUGCACAUAUCGAGCAUAUUGUGUGUAUGAUUGAAAUGCUUGGUAUGUGUGGGAUCUGACUAUCUAGUUGUUUAUCUUUAGUAGCCUCUCUUACCGGGAAAUGUCUCCUAGUGUUACCGCUGAGCCAUGGUAGCUUGCUACUGCUCUGGAACACUUAGGCUGGCCGGCAUGUGUCCUUCUUCGUUCCUGUGUCUGUCCCUUCGGGGAAAUGUCACACUUUGAGUACCGGAGUCCUGUUAGCCCGCUACAGCCCGGUUUACCGGAGUCCUGCUAGCCCAGUGCUACAGCCCGGACCCACUUGCUGAUGACCGACACAUUCGAAGCUGGGUCAUGGAUGCCUGUCCCUGUAAGUCUGUGCCACUUUGGGUUUACGACUAGUCAUGUCAGCCCGGGCUCUUUAUCAUAUGGAUGCUAGCGACACUAUCAUAUACGUGAGCCAAAAGGCGCAAACGGUCCCGGGCAAAGGUAAGGCGACACCCAUGGGGAUACCGUGCGUGAGGCCGCAAAGUGAUAUGAGGUGUUACCGGCUAGAUCGAUGUGACAUCGAGUCGGGGUCCUGACAGCUUGGCAUCAGAGCCGGACUGCCUGUAGGUUCUCCAAGCCAAACUGGUCGAUGUUGAGUCUAGAAAUUCUUUAGUUAUAUGUAGGGGAAUUGAUUGUGGGAUGGAACGUAAGGCUCUUUUACUCGUUUAUCUCAUGACAUUCUGAUCUGAGUCAGUCCAUUCUUCCACCGGGGGUUAAGGAAUUAGGACCUAUUCUCUCUAUCAGGAUCACGUGUUACUAAUCAGUAGUACCUUAUAAGUUUGAGGGAUACAAGCCUAGUUCAGUUCUACUACCACAUUAUGUUGUUAGAAUGGAUUCAGAACUUUGACAUGAUGAUGUUGAGUGUGUACGAAAUCCUUUGUCAAAUGUCUCAAAAUCCUUCUUGAGCAUUUACAGCUGUUAUGCUGCCGAAAUUUUGCUAGAAAUUCUAAUGCCCUUGCAUUAUGAUUGUGCUUUCAGAUGGCCACUCGCGACCUCAAUCAAGUGGUUCGCCUGACUCGAUGCCUAGAUGUACCCGGCCAUACUGCCAAGUUGGUCAGGGUAAUGACUGAGGCUGGAUACCGUUGGUAUCCUGAGUACACGGUCGAAGAGCAAUUCCGAGACUUUAAUCAAAGCCAGUAUCUCUGCACUGUCAGGAUAUUUCCAUCUUAUCCUGGAUCCACCGAGCCUCUUCACUGCUCCUAUGGACUCGGGGUUACUAUUGAGAUGGCUGUGCAGGACGCCGCCUACUCUAUGAUGACCAUUAUGCGAGUCAGAUCUGGUCUAUUUCGGGACUCUGAUUUCCGGUAUAUGCCAGGAUCACUUCCGGGAGCACAAGGGUAUCUCCAGGCUAUUUAUGCUGACCCCACUCAGGAGGAUUCACGAACUCGCACCACUGCUGAGAUGCUCGAGGAUAAGGACCGUGAAAAUCGGGCCUUGAGGUUAGAGCUCUUCAAUACCCGUGCUGACCACUGGGCCACUUUGACUCGGUUCGCACCGGCGGUGCAAGCUGGAUUUUCAGAUAUGCGCGAUCUCUAUCCUGUGAGAUCUGCUCUGCCAGACGUGAUGGUUUGGCGUGAUGUAGGAGGCAUCACCCUACCUCGCGGUCCCCGCAGGCCACCGUCUGUUGGUCCAAGGCCUCAUCCUAGCCCCUAUGGUCCACAAGCUCCGCGAGAUCGUCUGUUUCCGGAUGAUCAUGUUGAGCUCCCAGGCUAUGGAGGUGACUUCUACGAGGACUACUACGGAUCGGUCUGAGCUAGUGGUAGUAUCACUAGUUCGCACUAGCUGUGUCGUCUAUCGUCCCGCGUGACUCGUGGGAUAUGACCUAGUUUGUACUCCUUCCGGAGGUGUAGAAAAAUAAUGUAUAGGAGCUUGGAAUGCCUCCGAUGAGAUGUAAUCCUCUUUCACCAUAAUAGUACUUUGUUUGGUCUUGUACUAAACCCUGUAUGGUGUGUAUGACGAUGGAAUAAAGAAGCAGUUUCUAUAUUUACCAUGUCAUACGGAUGAUCAUCUUGCAUUCCGAAUUAUUCCUUACAUUCUGUAUCCUAUGUCGGAAUUUUAUCAUUCUGACUAAAUCAUUGUCUUGUUUACCUAGGAUGGUCAACACGCGCGCUAACCCUGCUUCUCAAGAGCAGGCCGAAGGCAGUGAAGGCAGGAAUGAAAAUCUGCCUCAUCCUCCUUCACUAGCCGAGGUUAUGAUGGAAGCUGAGAGAAACAAGCGGGAGACCAACCGUUUGUUGGAGCGUAUUGAACAGAAUACAGCACACCAUCAGAGGGCUAACGUGGUGUCACUCAGUGAUUUUAUCAAAUUGCAUCCACCCACAUUCCACCACUCCGUCGAGCCUCUCGACGCUGAUGACUGGCUUCGCAGUAUCUCUCACAAGCUGCGUUCCGCGCUAGUAGCUGAGGCUGACAAGGUCACCUUUGCUGCAUAUCAUCUUGAAGGCCCCACCAGUCUAUGGUGGGAAAAUUAUGGAGCCAUGCGCCCAGCGGGCCAUGUCACUACUUGGGCUGAGUUCAGCGAGGCUUUCCGUGAGCAUCAUAUUCCGGAGGGUCUCAUGGACCGUAAACGUGAAGAAUUUUGCAGUUUCACCCAAGGCCGACUUUCUGCGGAUGUUUACAGCAGGGAGUUUGGUAAUCUCGCACGAUAUGCAACUGAGGAAGUGUCUACCGAUGCCAAGAAGCAAGCAAGGUUCCGUAAGGGCCUUAGUCCUGAGCUUCGCCGUGACCUCCGUCUGCAUGAGUGCACAUCUUUUCAGAAACGUGUCAACAAAGCCAUCAGUGCUGAAACUGGUCAGACUGACUAUGACGCAACACGCAAGCACGGCCGUGAUAUGGGUUCCUCAUCCGGUGCUGGUCCUCAGAAGCGCCGCGUGUGGGUGCCCAACACCGCCCUGCCACCCAGGUUCACACCGAGGCCAUCUUUCCAGGCGCCUUGCCCUGUUCAACAGUCUGCACCGGCCAAGCCCUAUGGGGGUCCAACUAACAAUGCUCCUCCACGUACCAGUUCUGUGACUUGUUUCAAGUGUGGGGAAUCUGGUCACUAUAUGCGUGAGUGUCCCCAGACCAACCCCAAUCAAUCUGCUAAAGCUGUUGGCCGUGGCAAGCCGACAGGAAAAGUAUUCCACGCCAAGCCGGUCACCGCUACACGUGGCCAUGUCAACUGUAUCUCUGCCGAAGAAGCUCAAGAGGAUCCCAACGUCGUUCUCGGUACGCUUCUUGUUAAUUGCCACCCGGCAUCUGUUCUUUUCGAUACAGGAGCCUCUCAUUCUUUUAUAUCCGAAAAUUAUGCGCGUUUGCAUAACGUUGCAUUCUGUGAUAUGCCAUCCACUAUGGAAAUUUCUACCCCUGGUUCUAGAUGGCAGACCUCUAGGGUAAGUUAUGGAAAUGAAAUCCAAGUUGACAGACUUGUUUUCCUCGCAUCUUUGAUAGCCCUUAAAUUUUCAGAUAUUAAUAUCAUUUUGGGUAUGGACUGGAUGUCAGCUCAUCAAGCCAAAAUUGAUUGCUUCUCUAGGACUGUUCAACUCACCCAUCCUUCGGGGAAGAUAGUCAAUGUCUUGACCCGAAUAGCCAAGCGACAAUUAUAUUCUCUUAACGCCAGCCCUUUGCCAGACCUUGAGGACAUUCCGGUAGUCCGUGACUUCCCGGAUGUUUUUCCAGAGGAAUUGCCAGGUGUUCCACCUGACAGGGAUGUUGAGUUCGUAAUAAACCUCAUUCCAGGAACCGUUCCGAUUGCUAGAAGACCUUAUAAGAUGGCACCCCUAGAACUAGCCGAGCUUAAGAAACAACUCGAUGAGUCCUUGAAAAAGGGUUUCAUCCGACCUAGCUCAUCUCCGUGGGCUUGCCCCGUCCUAUUCGUCAAGAAGAAGGAUGGUACGGACCGGAUGGUUGUAGAUUACCGACCUGUCAAUCUGGUCACAAUCAAGAACAAAUAUCCGCUUCCCAGGAUCAACGACCUGUAUGAUCAGCUCGCUGGAUCCUCAGUCUUCUCCAAGAUGGAUUUGAGGUUGGGCUACCAUCAAAUCAAAAUCAGAAACGGGGACAUUCCUAAAACGGCCUUUGUUACUCGUUAUGGCCAAUACGAGUACACCGUCAUGUCCUUCGGUUUAACCAACGCUCCAGCCACCUUUUCUCGGUUAAUGAACUCAAUCUUCAUGGAGUAUUUGGAUAAAUUCAUCGUAGUUUAUCUCGAUGAUAUACUCAUCUACUCCAAGAACGAGGAAGAACAUGCCGAACAUCUAAGGCUAGUGUUGAAGAAACUUCGAGAGCAUCGCCUUUAUGCCAAAUUUUCUAAAUGUGAAUUCUGGUUGUCAGAAGUGACCUAUCUGGGUCAUGUAAUAUCUGGUAAAGGUAUUGCUGUUAACCCUGAGCGAUUUCAAGCCGUCCUUAACUGGACUCCACCUGAAUCGGUCAAGCAAGUUCGGAGUUUUCUAGGCUUAGCGAGCUAUUGUCGUCGCUUUGUCGAGAACUUCUCCAAAGUUGCCAAACCUCUAACCGAACUCCUCAAGAAAGAUAAGAAGUUCGAGUGGACUCCACAAUGUGAGCACAGCUUUCAGGAACUGAAAAGACGCCUGACUUCUGCUCCCGUACUGGUACCGCCAGACUUCUCCAAGGACUUUGUUAUCUACUGCGACGCCUCGCGACAAGGACUAGGUUGCAUUCUCAUGCAAGAUCGACACGUAAUUGCCUACGCUUCACGGCAAUUGCACCCACAUGAGGAGAAUUAUCCUACUCAUGAUCUAGAGCUUGCAGCUGUAGUCUAUGCACUUAAAACCUGGCGACAUUACCUCCUCGGUAAUCGUUGCGAAAUAUUCACUGAUCACCAAAGUUUGAAGUACAUCUUCACCCAACCGGAUCUGAACCUCAGGCAAAGACGUUGGGUUGAGUUGAUCACAGACUUCGAUUUAGGGAUAACCUACAGCCCAGGGAAAGCCAACGUCAUGGCUGAUGCGCUAAGUCGUAAAUCUUAUUGUAACAACCUGAUGUUACAACAAAGUCAACCGCUUCUCCAUGAGGAAUUUCGGAAGCUUAACCUUCACAUUGUUCCUCAAGGUUUUCUUUCCACCUUGGUGGCAAAACCUACCCUUACGGAUCAGAUUAUCAAAGCACAGAAGGUAGAUCCGGGAAUCUCCCGCAUCAAGAGAAACAUUCAGAAAGGAAUUGCGAAUUGCUUCUCCAUUAAUGAUCAAGGGGUCGUAUACUUCGGGAAUCGACUAGUGGUUCCCAAAGUGCGAAACCUGAGGCGUUUGAUCCUUAAGGAAGCUCAUGAAUCUCCUCUCACCAUUCAUCCCGGUAGUACUAAGAUGUAUCAGGACCUACGCCAGAGGUUCUGGUGGACUAGGAUGAAGAGAGAAAUUGCUCAGUAUAUUGCAAAUUGCGACGUCUGUCGUCGUGUAAAAGCAGAGCAUCAACGGCCUGCUGGCACCCUUCAACCCCUAGCUAUUCCUGAAUGGAAAUGGGAUAAAAUUGGUAUGGAUUUCAUUACCGGUUUUCCCAGGACCAAGAGAGGGAAUAAUGCUAUUUUCGUCGUGGUCGAUCGUCUUUCCAAAGUAGCCCAUUUCUUGCCUGUUCGUGAGAGUAUAACCGCUAGUCAGCUGGCAGACUUAUACAUCUCCCGAAUAGUGUCCCUUCAUGGUGUUCCUUUGGAAAUUAACUCGGAUCGAGGAAGUCUUUUCACCUCUCGAUUUUGGGAAACUUUCCAAAAUGCUAUGGGAACUCGUCUCUCCUUUAGCACCGCCUUCCACCCUCAGUCGAGUGGUCAAGUGGAAUGCGUCAACCAAAUUCUAGAAGACAUGCUUCGAGCCUCUGUUAUCUCGUUCGGAAUGGACUGGGAGAAGUGCCUUCCAUUUGCCGAAUUCGCUUACAACAACAGCUAUCAAUCUAGCUUGGGUAAAGCCCCUUUUGAAGUUCUCUAUGGACGACGGUGUCGAACACCCCUUAACUGGUCAGAGACCGGGGAAAGACAAUUCUUUGGCCCGGAUAUGAUUCAGGAAGCAGAAGAACAAGUUCGCAUCAUUCGUGAAAAGUUGAAAACAGCCCAAUCUCGUCAAAAGAGUCAAUAUGACCGAAAACAUAAGGCUAUGACUUUCGAGGUUGACGAGAAGGCUUAUCUUCGGGUCACCCCUCUGAAGGGAACCCAUCGUUUCGGUAUCAAAGGCAAAAUGGCUCCUCGUUACAUUGGACCUUUUCGCAUUCUCGCCAAACGAGGAGAAGUUGCCUACCAGUUGGAACUACCUCCACAUCUCUCCAGAGUCCACGAUGUCUUCCACGUUUCUCAACUCAGGCGUUUCUUCUCGGAUCCUAUCCGUGAAGUGGACCACGAAACGCUUGAUCUCCAAGAUAAUCUUACAUAUCGAGAGUACCCCGUUCGUAUCCUCGAUCAGGCCGAAUGUAUCACCCGACGUCAGAACAUCAAGUUCCUCAAAGUACAAUGGUCGCACCAUUCUGAGGAUGAAGCAACCUGGGAAAGGGAGGAUCGUCUUCGACUUGAGUACCCCGCCUUCUUCCCGGAGGAACCCAAAUCUCGGGACGAGAUUCUUUUGAGUGGGGGUGAGUUGUCACACCCUAGCUAGUCAUGCAUUAGAGUGUUGCAUCAUGUUUACUCUUUCAUCAGAAACUUGAAAUGGGGAUCUGUGAAACCCUCAGAAUCAUUUUGAAAAUGACCCAAAUAAAAAAUUUCUCCAAAAGGGUCCAAGAAAAUGAUCAUGUUGCUCUCUGAAAAUAUUGGACAGAGAUAAAAAUCAAACCAAUAUUUUUAGUGGCUCAUGGACAUUUAUUUUGGGCAUUUGGAAUUAAUGCAUAAAUAUUUGCAUUGGAAAUAUAUUUAUAUAUAUAUUAAUAUAUGUCCAAAUAUUAUGCCAAUUAUAAAGGAGCUCUGGAAUAAUAUAUCUAACCCCUGCAAAAAUUGGCAUAAGUUAAAUAAAUGAUUUAAUAUAUUAUUUAAAUCAAAACAAAUGUCAGAAAUUAGAAAACAGAAAAAAAAAUAAAAGGGAGAAGCUUACCUGGGCUCCUCCCUGUGCAGCCCAUCCAGCUGGCCGGCCCAGCCAGCAGGCGGCCCAGCCCGUCUCCCUCCUCUGUCGUCUUCGUCCCGACAGAGGGAGGGGAGUGUGGCCGGCGCGCGCGCGCGCCACCGCGCCACGCCACCUCUCUCCCUGCCUGCCUGCCCUCCCCUCCUCGCCUCGAUGCCCCUGGACGACGCCACGCCUCCCCCCCUGCUCUCUCUCACUCGCCCCGGCUCUCCCCUCCUCUCCCUCGCUCUCUCCCUCACACGGCCGAACACCACCGUCGCCGCCGUUCGCUAUAGCAGCCGUCUCCGGCCACCCCUCGCUCCCCCGACUAGCUCAGAAGCUCCGCCACAACCCCCUCUUCCUCCCCACCGCUUCACGGGCCUCCGGAAGCCCUGUAUCGCCGCCACGUCGUCGUUCCCCUCUUCGGGCUCCGACCAUCAUCGCCGUCGAAUUCGCCGUCUCCAGCGCGUCUCCGAGCCCGCUUCGACGCCCACUGCAACCGCGGUGAGCCCCCGAGUCGUUUCCCCCUUCUUCCCUGGUCUCUUUCGACCUCUAGGCCUUAGCCCCACCUUGGCCGAGAGCUCCACGCCGCCGGCGAUGUCGCCGUCGUGGCCACGGUCACCGUAGCGCCCAACCGAGCACACUAUCGUGCUCCACGCCUCACUAGGAGCACGCAGCACGCACCAACGCCUCCCCAAACCCCCUGCAACGCCGACUCCGACCGCACCCGAACUCCGGCCGCCGCUCACGAGCUCGCCGUCGACGGUACCUGCCACCCCAGGCUCGGCCACCACCACCGUUCGACGCGCGGGAGCAAGAGCUCUCCAACGAGCCCAAGAACGGCCUCGCCCGUGCCCUGUAGCGCGAUCCCGCAUCGCGCCGCCGUCUCGGGCCUCGCCGGCGUCACGUCGCCGGUGGGUUUGACCCACUUUGACCACGGCAGGACCCCCCCUGAGUCCCUGACAGGUGGGCCCAGCCCUGUAGCUAAUUAGGAUUAGCGCUAACCACUGUUAGUUAACCCCCUGACACUGACCAGUGGGCCCCAGCGCCACUAAUUAGUAAUUAGGAUUAAUUUAACCCUGUUUAACCCCCCUGUCACUGACGUGUGGGCCCCACACGUCAGGUUUGACCCCAGACAGCCGCAGUUGACCACUGAUGUCAUGCUGACGUCAUGCUGGCGCAAUAAUUAUAAUUUCUGGAUUUAAUUUAAAUCAGGAAAUUCCAGAAUAUUAUUUAAACUUCAAAAAUUCAUAACUUUUAUUCUGUAACUCCAAAUUGGACAAAUUAUAUAUGAAAAAUGAUCAGAAAAAUCCAAUCUAUCCAUCUGUACUAUUUUCAUGCAUGAUCAAACAAGUUAAAUUGAUGUUUUAAGCAGAACAAGGAAAAGCACUUUAAAAGGCCAUGUUUGCGUUUGAAAUUUGAAUCUUUGAUUCAAAUUUGUUCAAACCCUUCUGGUUUUAGUUGCAUUAGCCCAACACACUCAUAUUGCCAUGUUUCAUGCAUGCAUCAUAUUGUUGCACAUUGUUUGGUGAUGUUGUGUAUCGAUGUCCUUUGCGACAGGUUCUGCCUCCGAGGAGUACCGUGAUUACCCUAACGAAGAACCGUAUCCGUGCAUCGAACCAUCAGGCAAGCAACCAGCCAUUUGAUCAUAUCGAUACAAUCCCAUGUUCUCGCUCCUGCUCUCUUUUACUGCAUUAAGACAACGCGUUUCAAACUGCUGUGUGCUACGGUAGUUGAACCCAUUUCCUCUGCAUGACCUGCCAUUGCCACAGUAACUAGAUGAAACCCACUAGCAUGUGUAGGAGUUGAUUGAGCCAUAUGUAUGUGUUGUUCCUACCUUGCUAUGCCUGCUAUGCUUAGAGUCGUGUCAGGUCUGGUUCAUCUGGGUGAUGGGCUAGAGUGAAAUGUUAUGUCGGUAAUGAGAGUGGUGUGGUGAACACGAUUUGGUAAAGGUAUCGAUGAGAGGCCAUGUAGGAGUACAUGGUGGGUUGUUUCAUUGAAGCCGACCUUAAGUACUGAGAUCUGUAUGUGUGAUUUAAGAAUCAGCUACUACCAUGCAUUGGGCCCGAAACCAAUGGACCCUCUCGGCUUCUUAUUCACCCUAGUUCUCCGUCCAGGAGUUGCAAGUAGUUUCUGGUGUUUGUAGCCUACUGGAGGCCGUGGACAGCGCUGACCGUAGGGGUGGGCUGUGAUGCGGUAGGUACGUGGCCGGGUGUACCGAAUACCCGUUAGGUAUCUCGGGAACCCUGUUCACAUCGUUCGGGGCCGUAUGGGAAACCUCGGCCGGACUCCCUGCGGAUGGAACCUGAAUAGGCGAUAAACCUGGACUGGAGGCUUAGGUGAUUAGGUAGGUCGUGGCCGACACCCACGUUGGGCUUCCGCUUGAAGGUUGCCGAGUACAUGUCGUGUAAACGACGAUAAGUGGUGAGAGCGUGUAUGAAGAAGUACACCCCUGCAGGGUUAACAUGAUCUAUUCGAAUAGCCGCGUCCGCGGUAAAGGACUACUUGGUUGCCUAUACAGUUCAUAGACAAGUAAAUGGAAACUAUUAAAAGCCUCAAGAUAAGAGUGAGUGCCGAGGAUGGCUCUUCCGUAGGAAGACGGAGGUGGAUCCUCGGUGGUGUAUUGAAGUGGUGAGUAGUGGACUCGUGUGCGCAAAACCAUUUCAAGUUGGGGUAUCGUAGAAUAGCCUAGCCAAGAGUCAAAGCUGGCUUGCUGCAAUAACUCCACCAACCCUUCUUGAUACUAUGCAUGUAUGUAGGAUCUGAUGUAAGUCUUGCUGAGUACCUUAGUACUCAUGUUGCUAUAAUCUACAUUUUUUACAGAAGACGCUGCAACCCCUUCUGAUGGGUUCUAUGUAGACGUUGACAUCAACGAGUAGGCUAAAGACCCAGGUGGUGACCCUGAGCUUGUGAAGGACCACGUAGUAUAGCUAGGCUUUCCAAGCCUCUUUUAUUUUACUAGUUGUCUGUACUCAGACAAGUUACUUCCGCUGCUGGUUUGUAUGACUGUAUGACUUGUAUGUUGGGUCGUGAGACCCGUACCUUUGUGUAUGUUAUGUAUGGCUCACUGAGCCUUAAAUAAAGUACUUGUGUCGUAGAGUCAUGUUGUGAUGCUUCGUUGUAAUUGCACAUAUCGAGCAUAUUGUGUGUAUGAUUGAAAUGCUUGGUAUGUGUGGGAUCUGACUAUCUAGUUGUUUAUCUUUAGUAGCCUCUCUUACCGGGAAAUGUCUCCUAGUGUUACCGCUGAGCCAUGGUAGCUUGCUACUGCUCUGGAACACUUAGGCUGGCCGGCAUGUGUCCUUCUUCGUUCCUGUGUCUGUCCCUUCGGGGAAAUGUCACGCUUUGAGUACCGGAGUCCUGUUAGCCCGCUACAGCCCGGUUUACCGGAGUCCUGCUAGCCCAGUGCUACAGCCCGGACCCACUUGCUGAUGACCGACACGUUCGAAGCUGGGUCAUGGAUGCCUGUCCCUGUAAGUCUGUGCCACUUUGGGUUUACGACUAGUCAUGUCAGCCCGGGCUCUUUAUCAUAUGGAUGCUAGCGACACUAUCAUAUACGUGAGCCAAAAGGCGCAAACGGUCCCGGGCAAAGGUAAGGCGACACCCGUGGGGAUACCGUGCGUGAGGCCGCAAAGUGAUAUGAGGUGUUACCGGCUAGAUUGAUGUGACAUCGAGUCGGGGUCCUGACAGUAUCUAUAAUUUUUUAUUGUUCCAUGCUAUUAUAUUAUCUAUCUUGGAUGUUUUAUAUGCAUUUAUAUGCUAUUUUAUAUGAUUUUUGGGACUAACCUAUUAACCUAGAGCCCAGUGACAGUUUCUAUUUUUUCCUUGUUUUUGAGUUUCGCAGAAAAGGGAUAUAAAACGGAGUCCAAUUGACCUGAAAAUUUACGAAGAAUAUUUUUGGAAAAUAUAAAAAAUACUGGAACAAAAAGAUAUCGGAGAAGAGGCACGAGGAAUCCAUAAGGGCGGAGGGCGCCCCCACCCCCCUAGGGCGCGCCCUCCGACCUUGUGGUUGACUCGUGCACCCCCUUGACUUGUUCCCGAUGCCAGCGCCUCUUAUAAAUCCCCAAAACCCUAGAACAGAACCUAGAUCAGGAGUUCCGCCGCCGCAAGCCUCUGUAGCCAUGAAAAACAAAUCGAGAGCCCGUUCUGGCACCCUGCCGGAGGGGGAAAUCAUCACUGGUGGCCAUCUUCAUCAUCCCAGCGGUCUCCAUGACGAGGAGGGACUAGUUCACCAUCGGGGCUGAGGGUAUGUACCAGUAGCUAUGUGUUUGAUCUCUCUCUUUCCCGUCUUCUUGAUUUGGCACGAUCUUGAUGUACCGCGAGCUUUGCUAUUAUAGUUGGAUCUUAUGACGUUUCUCCCCCUCUGCCUUCUUGUAAUGGAUUGAGUUUUCCCUUUGAAGUUAUCUUAUCGGAUUGAGUCUUUAAGGAUUUGAGAACACUUGAUGUAUGUCUUGCAUGUGCUUAUAUGUGGUGACAAUGGGAUAUUCACGUGAUCUACUUGAUGUAAGUUUUGUGAUCAACUUGCGGGUUCUGUGACCUUCUGAACAUAUGCAUAGGGGUUGGCACACGUUUUCGUCUUGACUCUCUGGUAGAAACUUUGGGACACUAUUUGAAGUUCUUUGUGUUGGUUCGAAUAGAUGAAUAUGGGAUUGUGUGAUGCAUAUCGUAUAAUCGAACCCGCGGAUACUUGUGGUGACAUUGGAGGACCAAUAUCCAGAUACAAAUCAUGCUAAAAUUUCAGCCCAAUCGGAGUUGCGGAUCUCCGGGAAUAUAAGAAACAGUGAAAGGCCAGAAUCUGAAAGGCAGAAAUAGAGAGAGACAGAGAGACGGAUCCAAUCUUGGAGGGGCUCUCGCCCCUCCACCGCCGUGGAAGCCAUGGACCAGAGGGGAAACCCUUCUCCCAUCUAGGGAGAAGGUCAUGGAAGAAGAAGAAGGGGGGCCCUCUCCCCCUCUCUCCCGGUGGCGCCGGAACGCCGCUGGGGCCAUCAUCGUGUGACGGUGAUCUACACCAACACCUCCGUCAUCUUCACUAACAUAUUCAUCACCUUCCCCCAUCUAUCUACAUCGGUCCACUCUCCCGCAACCCACUGUACCCUCUACUUGAACAUGGUGCUUUAUGCUUCAUGUUAUUAUCCAAUGAUGUGUUGCCAUCCUAUGAUGUCUGAGUAGAUUUUCGUUGUCCUAUCGGUAAUUGGUGAAUUGCUAUGAUUGGUUUCAUUUGCUUGUGGUUAUCUUGCUGUCCUUUGGUACCCAUAACAUGAGCGCGCACGUGGAUCACACCAUAGGGUUAGUUGUAUGUUGAUAUGACAAUGCAUUGGAGGGCAAGAGUGACAGAAGCUUCAACCUAGCAUAGAAAUUGAUGCAUACAGGAUUGAAGGGGGACCAAUAUAUCUUAACGCUAUGGUUGGGUUUUACCUUAAUGAACGUUAGUAGUUGCGAACGCUUGCUAAUAGUUCCAAUCAUAAGUGCAUAUAAUUCCAAGUCAGGGAUGACAUGCUAGCAGUGGCCUCUCCCACAUAAAACUUGCUAUCGGUCUAGUAAUGUAGUCAAUUGCUUAAGGACAAUUUCGCAACUCCUACCACCACUUUUCCACACUCGCUAUACUAACUUUAUUGCUUCUUUACCUAAAACAGCCCCUAAUUUUUAUUUAUGUGCUCUUUAUAUUCUUGCAAACCUAUCCCGUUACACCUACGGAGUACUUCUAGUUUCAUACUUGUUCUGGGUAAAGCGAACGAUAAGCAUGCAUAGAGUUGUAUCGGUGGUCGAUAGAACUUGAGGGAAUAUUUGUUCUACCUUUAGCUCCUCGUUGGGUUCGACACUCUUACUUAUUGAAAGAUGCUAUACUUGUGGGUUAUCAAGACCUUUUUAUGGCGCCAUUGCUAGGGAGUUAUAGCGUGGGGUGAAUAUUCUCGUGUGUGGUUGUUUGCUUUAUCACUAAGUAGUUUUUAUUUUGUGUUCUUGUUUUCUAUCUUUAGUUAUGGGUAGGAAACGCAAAAUACCAAAAAAAAUUAGUGGUACCUACUGAACCAAUGGUUGAAGAACCACUCAAAAUCUAUUACACUGCUGAAGCUUUUUACUUGGAUCAUCUUCGAUCCCUAUGUGCUCGGGCUGAAACCCCAACUAGCUUAGUUGAGGGCAAAUAUUUAGAUGAGCAUGCUUGUUAUGUAUGACACCGCAUAUCUUAAAAGGGGAAACUUUUACUGGAUUAAAUUCAUCAUUUGUAGUGCCAUGCUUGGAAUUUAUGUGAAAUACAUGAUGGUACUUGUUGUUCUAAUGACCCUGUCAGAGUAAAUGACCACGGGUAGCCUAGCCGGCUCCCCGUGGCCCUUCUGAAAAAAUUACGAGCCGAUCCGGCCCUCAAGAAUCCAAGACGUGGGGCCACCUUCCCCUUGCCGGCUGUCUCCCAGGCCGACUAUCGGAAGGCGGCCCGGCUUUAGCCCUCAUGAAGAAAGCCGCGGGAGGGCCGGCUCCAAGAAGCCGACCGCAAGAAGCCGACUCCCACAAAGCGGUCAAGAUCGUACCCUCGAAGUCUGCAUCCACAUAACGGCGAUGUGACGGGGCGUGGCUACAGUAAAGCCUGCCACCCCCGAAUCCCGGAGCACGUCUGGCACAGUGCACCGUACGGGGUGGCCAUGACCCGUCCGGCGUGGCACUGUUGCCAUGUUGACCCUGAUGCCACCCACGACGGGCUGUCAGCGCGGCCCAUGGGCGGUGGGCCCCUUCAGGCAGAGAGACACCCGAAGGCGGCCAGGCCUCCCCCAGUCGACCCAAGACGGGGCCGGCUCCCCACAGCCGGCUUGCUUCCUCCCUCGAAGGAGACGCCCCAUUAAGGGGACAAGACGAGGCGUGGCUACAGCGAUCGCCCGCCGGGCGGCGGCACUGUAGCCACGCUUACCUCGGCGAAGCCCUCGUCACCAGGUUUGAGGCAACAGUGACCAGCCACUGACAAGGCCCUUGACAGUGGGGCCUGCCUGUCGACCAAGGAGCCGGCAGCCGGCGGGCCCCAGCAGCCGGCGCAGAAGCCGGCGAGCGUAGACACAGACGGCUAGGGCCCACGCCAGCCGGAUUACCAUUGUACCCCCGGGGGGUGGGCCUAUAUAAACCCCCCGGGGCACCCAUCCAAAGGGUUGACCUGUGCUAGUUUUAGACACCAAGAGAGAGGAGAGGAGAACUAGCCGUGCCUUUCUUCUUCUUCUCGCCAAACAGCUCAAGGAGCAUCUUGUGGCCACUCGUUCAUCUAGUGAUCAUGCGGAGACCCCGCAGAGUAGUAGUAGGGGUGUUAUCUCGUCGGAGAGCCCCGAAGCUGGGUAAGAUUCGCCGGCGUGCAUGUCUUCGCCUCAUCCCGCUUCCAGGCACUGGCGACAUCUUACUGGCUCCCACAAUGAUAGGCCACCCGUUGGCAUAUGUCCGACCUACCACCCGACAUUUGGCGCCCACCAUGGGGCCAGGUGCACCGUCGUCCGGAGACAUGUUCUGGACGUGAACCCUCUUCCUCCCCAGUGAGCGUAGCCAGCCCCGCACGCCCGAUGGCGCUUGCCACGACGCGCUGCAAGGCGUCGCCAACGUCUGCGCAGCGAGCAGCCUCGCCGAUCUCCUUGAUGAGACCCUCAUCUCCGACGAGCUCGCCUCUGACGCGGGCACCGACCACCUCGUCAACCUCCUCGGCCAGCUCCAUGUCUCCGGCGAGGCUGCUGUGGACUUGGAGUCUGUUGGCUCCACCGAUUCGAUGCCUGUCGACUCCGACACGGCCUCGCUCAACGCUUUCCCCACCGACGUCACGAUCUACAACGACCCGCUUCCCCGGGCCGAUGGCUGCGACGGUGCCACCACCGAGGUGAUGGUCAUCGGCCACGGCGGCGCUUCUGGCGAGAAUGCCCUCGACGCCCCGCAUGCAGCGGUCCACGACUUGUCCAUCCCCCUCCCAGCUGAUGCCGACGCCGAAGCACUGGAGGCUCGCCGCCUCGCCCUCCGCACGGAGGGCCGGAAGUUGGCUUCCAUGAGACGCCUCACCGAGGCCCACCAGCGCGAAGCCGACCAUGCCGCCUUUGGCACGCCGCCCCCAGGCGGGCCAAGCCGAGCCGGCAUUGUCAGACAGCGCGGCGCUGCCCUCGCCGACACGCUAGGAGUCGACCGCCCAGUCUACGCCACUCCACUCGAGAACCUGCGCGCCGCCCAGGCGGCUGUAGACGAGCUAGACGAACUAGGGGCCGAAGAACUCCCCCACAUGACCAGACGCAUCCAGCAGCUAAUUGAUGCAGCCGCACAGCGGCACGAAGCCGACGCCCGCGCGGAAAGCCCUCCCCCGCGCCGAGAGCAUGGCGCGACAUCCCGGACGCCGACUGCGGGUAAAACCCGCGUGCGACACGAGAAGGAGCCGGCUGCCAGCCGAAGCCGAACCUGGACCUCCAUCAAGCAAGACGCAGAAGGCCGUCCCUGGGCCGUGGAGCGGCGGGGCAACCCGCCUCCGCCUCCGCCUCGUGGGGAGAGAUAUCCCACCCCACCGCGUGUCACGCAUCCGACUCUCAGCGGCCGACUAGGUCUCUGUGAAGGAGUCGGCGAGAAUGACGCCCGCCAUCGGAUCGACCGCCUAGCGCGAUCCCUGGCGCUAGAAGAAGAAGAUGAUGUCGGCCCGCCUUGCUUCGGCCCCCGCAUCCGCGACGAGCCUUUCCCCAAAGGGUUCUCGCUCCCAAGAGACACGCCCAAGUACAACGGCUCCGUGAAGCCGGAAGAUUGGUUGAUCGACUACUCCACAGCGGUUCGCAUAGCAAAUGGCAACAGGCGCGUUGCCGUGAAGUACGUGCCCCUCAUGCUACAAGGCACGACGCGGACCUGGCUCAAUAGCCUCAGGCCCUUCAGCAUCAACAGCUGGCUAGACUUCACAGAGGCCUUCGUCCGCAACUUCACCAACACCUACAAGCGGGCCCCCAAGCCCAGGCAGCUCUCCUUGUGCGUGCAAGGCCCCACCGAAUCCACUCGCGACUAGCUCACGCGUUGGGCCGAGCUCCGCAACUCUUGCGAAGGGGUGCACGAGGUGCAAGCCAUAGAAUACUUCACCGCCAGAUGCCGAGAAGGCACCCUCCUUAAGCACAAGCUCCUCUGCGACGAGCCGACUACCCUCGACGAGCUUCAGCGGACAAGUACGCCACCACCGACUCCUCAAUGAAGACUGAACUCCGGGUAGACGCGUCCGGGAAGGUAAUCAACCCAGCACCCAAGAUGCAUGCUGGGGACUCCGACCAACGCCCGUACCAGAACAACCACAAGCGCAAGGGCCCCAUGCCGCUCUCCACCAGUCGGCAGGUGGCCACAGUCGAGGACAAGCAGCCCGAAGGGCGGCCCGCACCCAAGAAGCAGAAGGGCGGCAGGCCGGCUUGGCAGCCGGCCUUCUCCUACGAGCAAACUCUCAAAGCCCCGUGCAAGUUCCACAGCGGCGCGAAGCCGUCCAACCACACAACCCGGAAGUGCCACUGGCUCACCCGAAUCUCCAAAGGUGAAGGGCUCGCGCCGCCUCCGCCUGCUAGUCCGCCGCCUCCGGCUCCGCAGCUGCCGACCGCUCGGCCAACAGUCGGAGCUGUGCAUGAUGAGUUCCCCGAUGAGCAUGCCGCCUAUGUCGUCUUUACAAGCCAGCCCGAAGGCCGGCGUAGCAGACGCCGAGAGCAUCAGGAAGUCAACGUGGUCGCUACCAACCCCGCCGAGCACAUGCACUGGUCAGAAAAGCCUAUCAGCUAGAGCCGGGCCGACCACCCAGAUGUGAUGCCAUCUCCCGACUCUUAUGCGUUGGUUUUGGAUGCCACCCUUGCAACGGACAAACGCGCCGCCCGUUUCUCCCCACGUGCUGAUAGACGGCGGGAGCAGCAUCAACAUCCUGUACCGUGACAACCUGGAGAAGCAUCAACAUCCUGUACCGUGACACCCUGGAGAAGCUGAACGUCAAUACGAAGCAACUCAUGCCUACUCGGACUGUGUCCCAUGGCAUUGUACCUGGCCUGUCCCGCGCCCCCAUUGGCAAGAUCAAGAUUGAUGUUCUCUUUGGGGACAAGGAUCAUUACCGCCGAGAAGCGAUCUGGUUUGAAGUGGUGGACCUGGAGAGCCCCUACCAUGCAUUGCUUGGCCGUCCUGCCUUGGCCAGGUUCAUGGCUGUUCCCCACUAUGCUUACCUCAAGAUGAAGAUGCCGAGCGCCAAGGGCAUCCUCACUAUAGCUGGCGAUUACAAGAAAUCUUCCGAGUGCGCUGCAGCCAGCAGCCGGCUGGCCGAGUCCCUUGUGAUUGCCGAAGAAAAGAAGAUGUUGGACCGAGUCGUGGCCAUGGCCGGCAACCACCUGGCCCUGCCACCCGAUCCCAAGGAGUGUGAUGCCCAAGGAUCUUUCCAGCCGGCCAAGGAUACGAAGAAGAUACCUCUUGACCCCGAGCACCCAGAAAGGUUUGCCGUCAUUGGGGCAAACCUAAAGAGCAAAUAGGAAGGCGAGCUCGCCGACUUCCUCCAUGAGAAUCGGGAUAUCUUUGCAUGGUCCCCUAAGGACAUGCCGGGUGUUCCGAAGAAGUUCGCCGAGCACAAGCUACACGUACGAGAAGGCGCAAAACCAGUCAAACAACCCCUCCGCCGACUGUCGGAGGAGAAACGAAGGAUUGUAGGAGAGGAGAUAGCCCGGCUUCUGGCAGACGGCUUCAUUAUGGAGGUUUUCUUUCCCGAGUGGCACGCCAACCCGGUCCUCGUGCUAAAGAAGAACAACAAAUGGCGAAUGUGCAUAGACUACAUGAGCCUCAACAAGGCCUGCCCCAAAGAUCCCUUUGCCCUGCCAAGGAUUGAUCAAGUGAUAGACUCCACGGCCAGAUGCGAGCUGUUGAGUUUCUUGGAUGCUUACUCAGGAUACCACCAGAGAAAGCUAGAUCCGGCUGACCGCCUGAAGACCGCCUUCAUCACGCCAUUCGGAGCUUUCUACUACCUGACUAUGACAUUCGCUUAAGAAAUGCCGGUGCCACUUUUCAGCGUUGCAUGCAGAAGUGCCUCCUCAAGCAGCUCGGCAGAAAUGCCCACGUCUACGUAGACGACAUUGUGGUGAAGACGGAGAAGCGCGACACCUUGCUGGAGGACCUCAAGGAAACAUUUGAGAACCUGCGUCGGUUCCAGAUCAAGCUCAACCCCGAGAAAUGCGUGUUCAGAGUGCCAGCCGGCCAGCUCCUAGGCUUCCUGGUCUCCGAACGUGGCAUCGAAUGCAACCCAGUAAAGAUCAAGGCCAUUGAGAGAAUGGCGAUUCCCACCAAACUUCGAGACGUCCAGAAGUUCACUGGGUGCUUAGCCUCCCUGAACCGCUUCAUCAGCCGGCUCGGAGAGAAAGCUCUCCCCCUCUACCGCCUCGUGAAGAAGACCACUCACUUCGAGUGGAACGCCCAAGCCGACCAAGCUUUUCAUGAGCUGAAGAAGAUGCUGGCCACGCCGCCUGUCCUGGCGGCGCCGACUGAGAAAGAGCCCAUGCUCCUCUACAUUGCUGCAACCAGCCGGGUGGUCAGCACCGUCAUCGUAGUCCAGCGCCCAGAAGAGGGCCGAGCCCAGCCGGUCCAGAGGCCGGUGUACUAUUUGAGCGAGGUGCUGUCUACGUCGAAGCAGAACUACCCGCACUACCAGAAGAUGUGCUAUGGCCUAUACUUCGCCGCCAAGAAGCUUAAGCCCUACUUCCAAGAGCACCCCAUCACGGUCGUAUGCACCGCCCCGCUUGCUGAGAUCAUAGGCAGCCGGGAUGCAUAUGGCCGGGAUGCGAAAUGGGCCAUCAAGCUGGCCCCCUACACGAUCUUCUACCAGCCUCGCACCGCCAUCAAGUCCCAAGCAUUGGCCGACUUCCUCGUCGACUGGGCCGAGACCCAAUACCUACCGCCAGCUCCCGACUCCACUCAUUGGCGCAUGCACUUCGACGGGUCCAAGAUGCGCACCAGCUUGGGAGCCGGCGUCAUCCUCACCUCUCCCAAAGGCGACAAGCUCAGAUACACGCUGCAAAUUCACUUUGCCGCCUUCCAACAACAUGGGCGAGUACGAGGCGCUGAUACACGGGCUUCGGCUUGCCAAAGAGCUCGGCAUACGCCGGAUCCUAUGUUACGGCGACUCGGACUUGGUAGUCCAGCAAUCAUCCGGCGACUAGGACGCCAAGGACGCAAAUAUGGCAAGCUACCGCUUCCUCGUUCAGCAGAUCAGCGGGUACUUUGAAGGAUGCGAGUUCCUCCACGUACCGCGAGCCGACAACGAGCCGGCUGAUACCCUGGCUCGAAUAGGCUCCACUCGGCAGGCAAUACCAACCGGUGUCUCUCUGCAACGCCUCCUCAAGCCGUCUAUCAAGCCGUCUCCAGAGUUCGAUUCCAUCUUCGUGCCGCCUGACCCCGACGCGGCCGGGUCCGGCUCGAAGAACCAAGCAGGUGACCCAAGGACUUCGAUAGUUGGCCCGGGGACAUUAGUAGGUGGCUCGGGGACUUCCGUAGUUACGCCUGACCCAGGGACUGCCACACCCGGCUCGGGGACUGCGGCAGUCGGCCCGGGGACUGCACCAACACAACAGGCGGCGGCCGACUCCAGCAUUUCACCACCCAGCCCACCCGCCCUGGUCGUAGUAGCCAUGUUGGCAAUAGAAGAAGUCGCAGCUCCAUCAUGGGCUCAAUCCAUCCUCAACUUCCUAAUAAACCAAGAUCUGCCGGCUGAUGAAACAGAGGCAAGACAAGUCCAACGCCGAGCCGGAGCAUACACAAUCAUCAACAGAGAGCUCGUCAGGCGCAGUGUCACUGGAGUCUUCCAGCAAUGCGUCGAGCAAGAGAAGGGCAUUGCAAUCCUCAGAGACAUCCACCACUGAGAAUGCGGCCACCAUGCGGCCUCAAGAUCACUCGUCGCCAAAGCUUUCCGCCAUGGAUUCUUUUGGCCGACUACUUUGGAUGACGCCAAGGAGUUAGUUAAACAUUGCAAAGGGUGCCAAGUCUUCAGCUCCAAGCAACACAUGCCGGCUUCGGCACUCAAGACCAUUCCCCUCACUUGGCCCUUCGCCGUUUGGGGACUGGACAUGGUGGGCCCAUUCAAGACGGCGUGCGGCGGCAUGACACAUCUGCUUGUCGCCGUGGACAAAUUCACCAAAUGGAUUGAGGCAAAGCCGAUCAAGAAGCUGAAUGGGCCAACUGCCAUGACAUUCAUCGCAGAUAUAACAACUCGCUACGGCGUGCCACACAGCAUCAUCACCGACAAUGGUACGAAUUUCGCCAAGGGAGCAUUGGCACGUUUCUGCGCGACGCAGGGCAUCCGGCUGGACUUAGCGUCCGUUGCCCACCCGCAGUCAAACGGCCAAGUCGAGUGAGCCAACGGCCUCAUCCUUUCCGGCAUCAAGCCCCGACUGGUCGUACCACUGGAACAUUCGGCCGGCUGUUGGCUCGAUGAGCUGCCGGCCGUCCUCUGGAGUCUGCGCACUACCCCAAACAAGUCAACCGGCUUCACUCCUUUCUUCCUCGUGUAUGGUGCCGAGGCGGUCAUCCCAACUGACAUCGAGUUCGACUCGCCUCAGGUAACCAUGUACACAGAGGCGGAGACCAAGGAAGCACGAGAAGACGGCGUCGACCUGCUGGAAGAAGGCUAGCUGUUAGCCCUCAGCCGGUCCGCCAUCUACCAGUAGGCUUGGCCGCUACCACAGCCGGAAGGUCAGACCAAGAUCUUUCCAAGAAGGCGACCUCGUGCUCUGGCUGAUCCAGCGAACAGCCGGCGAGCACAAGCUCUCGGCCCCUUGGGAAGGCCCCUUUGUCAUCAGUAGAGCGCUGGGAAAUGACUCCUACUACCUGAUCGACGCACAGAAGCCGAAGGUACAAAAGAGAGACGAAUCCGGCAAGGAGUCAGAACGACCAUGGAACGCCAACCUCCUCCGAAGAUUUUACAGUUGAAAUGUAGUAUGUAUCACGCUAACUUUUGUACUAAGUACGAGACAAUAGGCCCCCCGAGGAGAGCUUGGGGACAACCAUCUUUUAUCUAUAAAUGAAGAGUAUCAUGCUCAUGGUCAUGUCAUUACAUUCACUUUUUUCGUCCGGCACCGGGUUCGACUAGUCGGCCCGGGGACUGGCCGCCUUGAGUUAUAUUAGAAGUCCUACCCGCGGUCAGACAAGUAGUGUGCUGGCACCAAAGCCUUCUCUUGCCAAAAGUCACAGUUUGAAGAACCGGCUGUCCAGCUGGCAAGAGUUAAAGGAAGGAAAGGACGCCCACACGAAAAACGGCUAGGGACUAACGGACUAAUAUAACAAAAGCCGGUUUUUCUCCCACCACUGACCGACUACCAGAGUAGCCGGCCAGCCGGCUUCCAUUCACCUCGCUUCAAUCUAAGAAAGCUCGAGUACUUGCCUUUCCAAAAAAACAGCCAAGUUCUUCCCUAGCCACAGGCUGCAGAGCAGCUGCCGGUUGGGAAGGCAGCAGCCAGGGGAAGGCGGCAAAGGAAACAGCCUAAAGAUAAAAAAAGCAUACGCGAAUGGAAGCCAAACACACACACGAUCAUAUUUACACAAAAGGCCUUUGAAAGGUCAGCAUUCAACAUAGUUUGAAUACACCCCCAGUGGGUGGAACUGCGCAAGUUUAAUAAAAAUUGUUCAAAGAGUAACAAGCAGGAAAAGCAAGGAUGGCAGAUUAAGCCAAGGGAGCGACUGGCGAGUCGGGCAGGUUGGUAGAGACGGCAGUGCUAGCUGGAGGAGUGGCCGGCUGGCGAACCUCGGCAUGAUCACCACCUCCCGCAGAGGGCGCGCUAGCACACGCCUCAUUGCUGGAGGCACGGUCAGGCUGCGGCUGGCUGGCCGCUUCACCGGCCGGCUCGACGUCUUCGCCUUCCUCUCCUUCGUCGUCUUCACCUUCAUCGCUGGAAGCGAUCUCCUCCGCCGAGUCCUCACCCUCUGCCGGGUCCAGCCCGAACCAUUCCUUCGGCUGGGCAACGCCGUCAUUAUUUAUCUCAGGAGCAAAGACGCUGAUGUUGGUGCACUCGGCGAUCGUCGAGGCACGCUGAGCGAUAGCCGGCCUCACCUCCUCCAUCUCCUCGUCGGCCUCCAGCCGCCAGGUGCGCCGCUGGUCCAGGUUCAGCCCAGGAUACCAGGCUCAGACGAACUCCAGCACCCGCCCAGCUCCAAGACGGGCCACCGAUGCCUUCCAGGCCUCGAAGCGGCCAACCGCAACCUCCAGCCAGUCGGCAGUCCGACUCGGGGUGCGGGGAAUCGUUUCGCCUAGCCAGAGGGCGGCCAACACCUGCGCCCCGGCGCGCUGGAGGUGGCGGAGCAUGCGGUGAGCCGGCUGUAGCCGGGCUUGGACCGCUAAGAGUUGCUCCUCAAGCGUCCGGCUCGCGUCCGGCGCGAUUUCAGCCCCCGGCUGCCGGCGCGCCUGGCGGUGGGCCUCGAUGGUCUGGGUGGCAAAGACGGAGUAGCCGGGGAAGUAGUCUGCACAAAGAACAAAAAGCAGCACAAGUCAGAACACAAAUCAGAGGGCAAGGGGCAAGCAAGGAGUGAGGAAGGCGGCUUACCAUCGAUCAGAUCCUCAACACGGUCGAAGCCCUCGCUCAGCGCUUGUUUUGCCUCAGCCCAGCCCGCCGCUUCGGUCUCGAACUCAGCUUUGAGGGCGUCCUCGCUGUCCUGCGCCUUCUUCAGGGCCGCCUUGUGGCUCUCCUCCUAGUCGGCCAACUUCUUGGCCAGGCGGUCACGCUCCAGGACCAAGGCGUUGUUGUCGGCGUUCUGGGAACGGGGGUCCCCAGACUUGCCUGCCUGCGGCCUGCAGCGUGGCUCAAAGGAGGCCCAGCACGGCCCGUCUUCAUCAACGCAAGACUCAAGACCCUUGCGAGGGGCCAAGCCUCGCGGGGCGGACGACACGGACCUUCCUCAGGCACGGCCUCAUCAGGCUGGCUCGCGAGGAGGCGGAGAGAUCAAGGCGGGGUACCUUGCGAGGUGCCCGUGACACGAGCAAUGACGACUCGGGGCGCCAGGCGGGUGCCAGCCCGCGCAGCGUCCUCCUUUCCUCUUUAGUGCAAAGGGGACAAGCGCAGCCGCGGGGUACCGAGGCAUCAAGCAAAGGUUGCCAUUUCGGUGCAACGAGACCAAGACCAGGAGGACUACGAGACGGAGGUCACCGUGGAUCCCAAGACGGCGUCAUCACCAGAGCUUUGCGCGGGCGAAGACUGCUUUUGUCAGGAUAGCUGAUACUUGUUGUCCCCCUUGAAAUUAGCCCGCCAUUGUUGGCUCACUUCCCGCUCAAUAUUUGGGAAGAGGACCAGGGCCUCUAUAAAUAGGACCAGCCACCCACAUAGCAAGGGGGGGUCGGUUCGGUCGAUUGGCUAGAGAGAGAGAGAGAGAAAGGUGGCUGAACUCCUCCCAGCAGUUCAUCGCCCCAUCCAAGAACAGACCCUCGCGAGGCUGUUCUUCAUUGUAUUGUUCAUCAUCUCCAGCCCCUAGAGGCAAUCCACCCACCACACAUUGGAGUAGGGUAUUACACCACAACGGUGGCCCGAACUAGUAUAAACCCCGUGUCUCUUGUGCUGUUCUUUCGGUAGUCUAGAUCUUUACGAGACGGAGAAGUAGAAGGCGUAAUCUCCGCGCGCACCCCAGUGUUCGAACCUUAAGGGUCUGUCGAAACCCGAAAUCCGACAGUUGUACUCGGCUUCCUUGGCACGAAGGGCGGCCUGGGCCCCGCUGAGCUGCCCCCUCAAGUCGGCAUUGGCUCCUGCAAGCAUGAAGACAAAGAAAAAAUCAAUAAGGAAGAAGUCGUCAGGGAAGAUCUGACCCGACUGCUCAGCAGUCGGCCCGAAUCUCGGGGACUACACCCAGUGGGUGUGCUGACGCGCCCCCAUAGGAGAUGAACGAGACAAAGCACGCACUCCGGCUGUUGGUCAGGUCCUCGGUUUUCCGGCCCAGCUCCUGAGCCUGGGAGUUGAAGGCAGCAGCGCGGAGGUUAUGGUAUUCCUGGAAGAUCAGACAGGAUGCAAGGUUAAGAUAGCUGUCAGGACCUAGUAAGUUCCAAGCCGCCUGCUCAGCAGCCGACUCGGAACUCGGGGACUACACCCAGUGGGUGCGCUGACGCGCCCCCACGGAAGGAAUCAAAAAAGCAAAACAACCAAGGCCCGCGUCGUGAGGAACUCUUGGGUAUAUCGCUGCAGCGAAGCGGCCUGGGCUUGAAGCCGGUUCCGGACCUCCUGGGCCGUCGUGUUUAGCUCGGCCGUCCCCUCGCUGGGCGUCCACUCGGACGUGCUGGCGCUGGCGGCCUCCAGGCCCUCCGCCGUCUAGCUGACGCCCGCAGCUCUGUGCGGCCUCGGCACGGAGGUAGCUCCCCCUGCGCGCCGGCGAAAUGCCGGCUGCACCUUGAGGCCGGCCCCUGCCUCCGGCUCGCCCCCGGCUGGCUGCUCUGGCGCCGCAGCUGGUUGGCCGCUUUGGCCCGCUCCAGUCGGCGCCGUCUGUGGCGCCUGCUCCAUGAAGACCAUGUGGUCCUUCCUCCUCUCCAUCACCGGCGGGUCUUGGUCGACCUCCUCCGACGGAGGCACGGGGAUGUCGGGGACCAUGGCACGGAGGGGAACGACGAGCUGCGGAGGCUGGUUGUGCGAGGCCUCCACCUCCGUCUCCGUGGCUGCCGCCUCCGCCCGGGCCUUGGCCGCCACGUCGGCCUGCUCCUUCGCCACCUGGGCGGUCCUUCGCUCUGCCGCCUCCCGCUCCUCCCACGCCUCCCGUGCGUUCCGCUCCGUGGCCUCCAUGAGGUCGGCGCGGGGAUCCACGCGGUGGGAGCCUGAGGACCCUCCAGUCGGCCCGACUAUGGAGCCGCCAGGGCCUCGCUCGAGGGAAAGCGGUGCCCUGCCCGCCGAUCAAAGAGAGAUUUAGAAGAACCUCAAUCGAAGAGGACAACAAAAAAUACAAGACAUUUAACGCUUACGCCGAGAUCGCUUGCAGCUGUUUCACCGCCUUGCAGAAGCGGGCUGCCUUCGCGGCCGCCUCAUCCCGCUUGGUCGCCGCCGUGGAACCCUUGGAUUUCUUCGGCCGGCUGCCGAAGUAGGUCGACACGGCCCGACGUUUCUGCGCACCUCCACGGGCAGCCGGCGCGGCAGACGGGCCCGCGCCUUGAUGAUCAAGCGCCGGCUGGCGGUGCGGAACGACUUCGACCUCGUCAUCGUCCGCCCUGUCCUCGAGGUCGGCCCCGAGCCCCGCGCCGCCUGCCUCGUCGCCUUCCCCCAUGAUGGCAUCUUCCAUGGCGGCCGCUCCCAGGUCCAGAUCAUCAACGUCGUCCACCGUGCGGUCGGGGAGGAGCUGGUGCUCUAUCCCUGCGGCCCCGGCCGUCGGCGGAAGAAGAGGGUUCUGCUAAGGACAAACCAAUUGAUCAGUAGUCGGCCAUCACGAGGCCGGCUACAAAAAGGAAGAAAAGAAGAAAAACUUACGGCAGGCGGAGGGUUGGCGCGAGAAUACGGCCCCUUGCCGUACCGCCAAUCCUCGGCGAGCUUGCAGUUGGAGAUGUAGUUCACCAUGUAAGACACCUCGGCAUGAGGCAUCUCCCUGGUGCUCAGCCGGCACGGGUCGAAGCGGCCGCUCAUCAGGCAAAUCAUGUGAGGCCAGCCUUGGAGCGGAAGUACUCGGCGCUCCAUGAAGGCGGCCACCAGGUCGGCUCCGGUCAGGCCCUCCGACUGGAUCAUCACCCGGAGGUGGGAGACGGCUGCGUUCCCGGCCUGAGACAAUGACCUGGCCCGGUAGCUCCACGAGGGUUGCCUCCCAGCCGGCGGGCCGACUACGUAAGCCGGCAGGUUGACGAAGUCGCCUUGCUGGGUGACGUUCUUCACGUAAAAAUAGGACUUCUGCCAGAGCUUCACCGACUGGAUUAGCGGGAUGGGAGGGAACGGAUUGUUCUCGCCCGUCCGCCUCAUGGCAAUGAAGGAUCCACAGGGGGCGGGCAUGCCCGCGACAAUGGUGUCGAGCUUGCUUUGGAAGAAUUCUCCCCAAAGCUCGAGAGUGGGGAGAACCCCAAGAAAGCCCUCGCACAGGGUGACGAAAGCCGACAGCAGCAUCACCGCGUUGGGCGUGAGGUGAUGCGGCUGGAGGUGGUAAAAUUCAAGAAAAGCGCGAAGGAAUCCGCUCGCCGGGAGGCCGAAGCCGCGCAGGCAGUGCGAGCGGAAGAUUACCCGCUUGCCCUCCUCCGGUGCCGGCGAAAUCUCCCUCGCCAGCGCAUGACGAACCCGCAUGUAGUUCUCGCCCGGCAGACACCGCGUCCGGCGGAGGAACUCAACGUGGUCCUCGUGGACGUUGGAGCCAUCCCACAAGCUCGACAAUGCCAUGGGAGCGACGCGGCGAGGAACAAGGCGAUGCGACGGUGGAGCGGCGCGGCAAUGGGUCGCUGCAGCGGCGAAGGGAAGAAGAAGGAAGGUGAGAAGGGGCGGAGCGAGGGAGAGCGUGUGAGCCUCUGCCGCUCCCUCUCCUCCCCCUACUUAUAGACCCCCGCGGCGGAGCCAAGGAGGCGUGGUGUGGGGGAACAUGGGAUCAACUGCGCCCACUCCCCCACGUCCCGCGAUUAUUGCGCCCUAAUGGCAUAAUAAAACCGCCGCGGGAAGGCGAGCGGUCCAUUGUGGGCCACAGAAGAUCCGCGCUCGGGCCGAGGCCUAGGAGUGACGGGCCCGGGCCUGCGGCAGCGUCCCAUCGCGCGUGUGCGUUGGCAGGUUUUCCUUGCCACAUGGCCCGCGAGAUGGCGUGCGGUCAGCUCGCAGGACGACCCACGUUCCCGCCUACAAGAAACGGAGCUUUCCGAAGAUGGCGCGCAUAAGCAAAGCCGGCUCCUCAAGAUAGGAAGCUGACCAAGCUUCUCGUCCCUUUGUCAGCCUCGAAGCUCGAUCAGCUUCGGGGACUACUGUCGGAGUAAAUGACCACGGGCAGCCUAGCCGGCUCCCCCUGGCCCUUCUGAAAAAAUUACGAGCCGAUCCGGCCCUCAAGAAUCCAAGACGUGGGGCCGCCUUCCCCUUGCCGGCUGUCUCCCAGGGCGACUAUCGGAAGGCGGCCCGGCUUUAGUCCUCAUGAAGAAAGCCGCGGGAGGGCCGGCUCCAAGAAGCCGACUCCCACAAAGAGGUCAAGAUCAUACCCUCGAAGUCCGCAUCCACAUAACGGCGAUGUGACGGGGAGUGGCUACAGUAAAUCCUGUCACCCUCGAAUCCCGGAGCACGCCUGGCACAGUGCACCGUACGGGGUGGCCAGUACCCGUCCGACGCGGCACUAUUGCCAUGUUGACCCUGAUGCCACCCACGACGGGCUGUCAGCGCGGCCCAUGGGCGGUGGGCCCCUUCAGGCAGAGAGACACCCGAAGGCGGCCAGGCCUCCCCUAGUCGGCCCAAGACGGGGCCGGCUCCCCACAGCUGGCUUGCUUCCUCCCUCGAAGGAGACGCCCCAUUAAGGGGACAAGACGAGGCGUGGCUACAGCGAUCGCCCGCCGGGCGGCGGCACUGUAGCCACGCUUACCUCGGCGAAGCCCUCAUCACCAGGUUUGAGGCAACAGUGACCAGCCACCGAGAAGGCCCUUGACAGUGGGGCCUGCCUGUCGACCAAGGAGCCGGCAGCCGGCGGGACCCACUAGCCGGCGGGCCCCAGCAGCCGGCGCAGAAGCCGGCGAGUGUAGACACAGAUGGCUAGGGCCCACGCCCAGCCGGAUUACCAUUGUACCCCCAGGGGGUGGGCCUAUAUAAACCCCCCGGGGCACCCAUGCAAAGGGUUGACCUACGCUAGUUUUAGACACCACAGAGAGAGGAGAGGAGAGCUAGCCGUGCCUUUCUUCUUCUUCUCACCAAACAGCUCAAGGAGCAUCUUGUAGCCACUCGUUCAUCUAGUGAUCAUGCAGAGACCCCGCAGAGCAGCAGUAGGGGUGUUAUCUCCUCGGAGAGCCCCGAAGCUGGGUAAGAUUCACCGGCGUGCAUGUCUUCGCCUCAUCCCGCUUCCAGGCACCGGCGACGUCUUGCUGGCUCCCACAAUGAUAGGCCACCCGUUGGCAUAUGUCGCACCUACCACCCGACAGACCCUAAGAAACACCUUCCUUACCAAUGUGAGUUUAGUGAUAAUGGAAUCGUAUCUUCGUAAACUAAGGGUGUUUAUAAUUACUAUGAUGUUCAACAAAUUGAAGAAUUUGUUGCUUUUAGGGGUACUUGUGAAAUUGCUUCUUGAAGAGUGUGAUACUACCCUCUACAAAUCUGAAAAUUUGGCCAUACUUAAAUAUUGCUAUGAUAAUUAUGCUUCUAAUCCUUAUAUUAAACCUUAUAUUGAGGACUCCUUGGUCUAUGGAAGAAGAAAUUGAUGACAUUGUGAGCUCAUUGGAUGAGAAAGAUGAGGAGGAGAGCGAAGAACAAAACGAGGAAGAGCGUAUUGAUCACCCAUUCCCACCAUCUAAUGAGAGUAACUCUUUAUCCCAUACACUGUUUAAUUUCCCUUCGAAUUUACCAAAGGAUGAAUGCUAUGAUGAUUGUUAUGAUCCUGUUGAUUCUUCUGAAAUAUCCCUUUUGGAUGAUGCUUGCUAUGCUUGUGGCCAAGAUGCCAAUAUGAAUUAUUCUUAUGGAGAUGAACUUGCUAUAGUUCCCUAUGUUGAACAUGAAAUUGUUGCUAUUGCACCCACGCAUGAUAGUCCUAUUAUCUUUUUGAAUUCUCCCGACUACACUAUAUCGGAGAAGUUUGCCCUUAUUAAGGAUUAUAUUGAUGGGUUGCAUUUUACUACUACACAUGAUGAUUUUGAUAGAUAUAAUAUGCAUGUGCUUGCUGCUCCUACUUGCAAUUAUUAUGAGAGAGGAACUACAUCUCCGCCUCUCCAUGUUUCCAAUAUGAUAAAAUUGCAAGAAACUAUUUAUACUAUGCAUUGGCAUUUACUAUGUUUGCAUGAAUUGUUUUUUAUGACAUGCCGAUGCAUAGGAAGAGAGUUAGACUUAUUUGUUGCAUGAUAUAUGUUACUUUGUGCUCACUACUAAAUCACAAAUCAUUGUUAAUUAAAAUUAGCUUUGAUAUACCUUGGGAUCUGGGUGGAUCCAUUACUUGAGCACUAUAUGCCUAGCUUAAUGGCUUUAAAGAAAGCGCUGCAAGGGAGACAUCCCGGAAGUUUUACAGAGUCAUUUAUUUCUGUUGUGUUAUUUUAUAAAGUUUAAAAACAAAAUAAAAAUAAAUAGGGAACCUAAAACUUUUUCAAAAAGAAAAGCGAAAGUAAGAAAGGCGAGCAUUGUUAAAGUGGGAGCUAGCCUUGAAAUUUGUUCAUGCCCAUGGAAACUUUGUGACCCUUGAUUACAGAAACUUUUCAACAAAAAUAAUUAUCCCCUUGUACAAAUCCAUUGUAUCAUAAAAAUAAUGUGCCAAGAUUUUCCUUUAGGAUAUUUACAUUGCUUGUUGGUUCGUGCGGUGCAAAACAGAAACUUUGGUUGUAGUGCAUGAUUUUACAUUUUUACUGGAACGUCAAACAGUUCUGAAACCUUUUGCACUGGCUUUCUAUACAAAUUGUUAUUUUUCCUAAUUUUUUCAGAAUUUUUGGAGUACUAGAAGUAUGGUGAAUGUUCAGAUUAUUACAGACUGUCCUGUUUAAGACAGAUUUUGUUUUUCAUGCAUAGUUUGAUGAAACUAUCGAUUUCUAUCAGUGGAUUAAGCCAUGGAAAAGUUAUAUAAAAGUAUCUAAAAUGCAAAAACAAAAUAUGAACUGGUUUGCAAUAGUACUUAGAGUAGUGAUUUGCUUUAUUAUACUAACGGAUCUUACCGAGCUUUCUGUUGAGUUUUGUGUGGAUGAAGUGAUCAAAGAUUGAGGAGGUCUCGAUUUGAGGAGAAGGAGGAGAGGCAAGAGCUCAAUCUUGGGGAUUCCCAAGGCACCCAAGUAAAUAUUCAAGAAGACUCAAGCGUCUAAGCUUGGGGAUGCCCUGGAAGGCAUCCCAUCUUUCUUCAACAAGAAUCGGUAUGUUUUCGGUUUCGUUUUGUUCAUGUGAUAUGUGCAAAUCUUGGAGCGACUUUUGCAUUUAGUUUUCGCUUUUCUUCGAUGCACCAUGCUUGUAUGAGAUAGUCCAUGGUUGAUUUUAUAGAAUGCUCAUUGCACUUCACUUAUAUCUUUUGAGUAUGGCUUUAUAGAAUGCUUCGUGUGCUUCACUUAUAUCAUUUGAAGUUUGGAUUGCCUGUUUCUCUUCACAUAGAAAACCGCCAUUUGUAGAAUGCUCUUUUGAUUCACUUAUAUUUGUUAGAGCGUGGGCAUAUCUUUUGUAUAAAUAAAUAAACUCUUUUGCUUCACUUAUAUCUAUUUAGAGAGAUGACAGGAAUUGGUCAUUCACAUGGUUAGUCAUAAAAAUCCUACAUAAGACUUGUAGAUCACUGAAUAUGAUAUGUUUGAUUGCUUGCAAUAGUUUUGUGAUAUAAAGGUGGUGAUAUUAGAGUCAUGCUAGUGGGUAGUUGUGGAUUGUAGAAAUACUUGUGUUGAAGUUUGUGAUUCCCGUAGCAUGCACGUAUGGUGAACCGUUAUGUAACGAAGUUGGAGCAUGAGGUAUUUAUUGAUUAUCUUCCUUAUGAGUGGCGGUCGGGGACGAGUGAUGGUAUUUUCCUACCAAUCUACCCCCCUAGGAUCAUACGCGUAGUACUUUCUUUCAGUGAGUAAUAGACUAUUGAAUAAGUAUAUGAGUUCUUUAUGACUAAUGUUGAGUCCAUGGAUUAUACACACUCUCACCCUUCCAUCAUUGCUAGCCUCUUCGGUACCGUGCAUUGCCCUUUCUAACCUCGAGAGUUGGUGCAAACUUCGUUGGUGCAUCCAAACCCCGUGAUAUGAUACGCUCUAUCACACAUAAGCCUCCUUAUAUCUUCAUCAAAACAGCCACCAUACCUACCUAUCAUGGUAUUUCCAUAGUCAUUCCGAGAUAUAUUGCCAUGCAACUUCCAUCAUCUUCAUAUACAUGACUUGAGCAUCAUUGUCAUAUUGCUUUGCAUGAUCGUAAGAUAGCUAGCAUGAUGUUUUCAUGGCUUGUCCGUUUUUUGAUGUCAUUUCUACACUAGAUCAUUGCACAUCCCGGUACACCGCCGGAGGCAUUCAUAUAGAGUCAUAUCUUUGUUCUAGUAUCGAGCUGUAAUAUUGAGUUGUAUGUAAAUAAAAGUGUGAUGAUCAUCAUUAUUAGAACAUUGUCCCAUGUGAGGUUAUCAAAAUAAAAGUGGCCAGAGAAGCCCCCCCCCCAAAAAAAGAUUGAGAGGCCAAAGAAGCCUACAAAAAAAGGAAAAAAAGAAAAAAAUAAAAAAUAAAAAAUGAGAGAAAAGAGAGAAGGGAAAAUGUUACUAUCCUUUUACCACACUUGUGCUUCAGCGUAGCACCAUGUUCUUCAUAUAGAGAGUCUCUCUAGUUAUCACUUUCAUAUACUAGUGGGAAUUUUAUUUAUAGAACUUUGCUUGUAUAUUCUAAUGAUGGGCUUCCUGAAGUGCCCUAGGUCUUCAUGAGCAAGCAAGUUGGAUGCACACCCACUUAGUUUCAGUUUGAGCUUUCAUACACUUAUAGCUCUAGUGCAUCUGUUGCAUUGCAAUCCCUACUCCUCGCAUUGACAUCAAUUGAUGGGCAUCUCCAUAGCCCGUUGAUUAGCCGCAUCGAUGUGAUAAUUUCUCCCUUUUUGUCUUCUCCGCACAACCUCCAUCAUCAUAUUCAAUUCCACCUAUAGUGCUAUAUCAAUGGCGCACGCUCAUGUAUUGCAUGAAAGUUGAAAAGGUUUGAGAACAUCAAAAGUAUGAAACAAUUGCUUGGCUUGUCAUCGGGGUUGUGCAUGAUUUGAAUGCUUUUGUGGUGAAGAUGGAGCAUAGCCAGACCAUAUGAUUUUGUAGGGAUAACUUUCUUUGGCGAUGUUAUUUUGAAAAGACAUGAUUGCUUUAUUAGUAUGCUUGAAGUAUUAUUGUCUUAAUGUCAAAUGAUAGACUAAUGCUUAGAAUCACUCGUGUCUUAAUAUUCAUGCCAUGAUUAGAUUACAUGAUCAAGAUUAUGCUAGGUAGCAUUCCACAUCAGAAAUUAUCUUUUUUAUCAUUUACCUACUAGAGGACGAGCAGGAAUUAAGCUUGGGGAUGCUGAUACGUCUCCAUCGUAUCUAUAAUUUUUUAUUGUUCCAUGCCAAUAUUCCACAACUUUUAUAUACUUUUGGCAACUUUUUAUACUAUUUUUGGGACUAACAUAUUGAUCCAGUGCCCAGUGCCAGUUCCUGUUUGUUGCAUGUUUUUUGUUUUGUAGAAAAUCCGUAUCAAAUGGAGUCCAAACAGGAUAAAAACUUACGGAGAUUUUUUUGGAAUAUGUGUGAUUUUUGGGAAGAAGAAUCAACGCCCCUCCGCCGCCCCAGGGGGUGGGCGCGCCCCUGACCCUCAUGGCCACCCCGUAAGGCGGUUGGUGCCCUUCUUUCGCCGCAAGAAAGCCAAUAUCCGGAUACAAAUCAUGUUAAAAUUUUAGCCCAAUCGGAUUUAUGGAUCUCCGGGAAUAUAAGAAACGAUAAAAGUCCAGAUUCUGAAAGGCGGAAACAGAGGGAGACAGAGAGACAUAUCAAAUCUUGGAGGGGAUCUCGCCCCUCCGCCACCAUGGAAGCCAUGGACCAGAGGGGAAAUCCUUCUCCCAUCUAGGGAGAAGGUCAAGGAAGAAGAAGAAGAAGGGGGGCCCUCUCCCCCUCUCUCCCGGUGGCGUCAGAACGCUGUUGGGGCCAUCAUCGUGUGACGGCGAUCUACACCAACACCUCUGUCAUCUUCACCAACAUCUUCAUCACCUUCCCCCAUCUAUCAAUAGUGGUCCACUCUUCCGCAACCCGUUGUACCCUCUACUUGAACAUGGUGCUAUAUGCUUCAUGUUAUUAUCCAAUGAUGUGUUGCCAUCCUAUGAUGUCUGAGUAGAUUUUCGUUAUCCUAUCGGUAAUUGGUGAAUUGCUAUGAUUGGUUUAAUUUGCUUGUGGUUAUGUUGUUGUCCUUUGGUGCCCAUCAUAUGAGAGCGCACGUGGAUCACACCAUAGGGUUAGUUGUAUGUUGAUAGGACUAUGUAUUGGAGGGCAAGAGUGACAGAAGCUUCAACCUAGCAUAGAAAUUGAUGCAUACAGGAUUGAAGGGGGACCAAUAUAUCUUAAUGUUAUGGUUGGGUUUUACCUUAAUGAAUGUUAGUAGUUGCGGAUGCUUGCUAAUAGUUCCAAUCAUAAGUUCAUAUAAUUCCAAGUCGGGAAUGACAUGCUAGCAGUGGCCUCUCCCACAUAAAACUUGCUAUCGGUCUACUUACGUAGUCAAUUGCUUAGGGACAAUUUCGCAACUCCUUACCACCACUUUUCCACACUCGCUAUACUAACUUUAUUGCUUCUUUACCUAAAACAGCCCCUAGUUUUUAUUUACGUGCUCUUUAUAUUCUUGCAAACCUAUCCCAUUACACCUACAAAGUACUUGUAGUUUCAUACUUGUUCUAGGUAAAGCGAACAUUAAGUGUGCAUAGAGUUGUAUCGGUGGUCAAUAGAACUUGAGGGAAUAUUUGUUCUACCUUUAGCUCCUCGUUGGGUUCGAUACUCUUACUUAUCGAAAGAGGCUACAGUUGAUCCCCUAUACUUGUGGGUUAUCAAAAGGCGAAGGACGAGAACGAACCACCGGAGCCGGCGAAGGCAUAGUAGAUGUCGUGCCUUAUUUCUACCGAAACUACUGAACUAGCCUAGUGGCCAAGUGACACUACCCGACCGUUGUACCAACCGGGUUUGAUUCCACCUGAUGCAUUGAAAAUAUCUCCAAAUUUUUUCCUCUGCCAUUAUUAACAUGUGGGUCCCCAUUGCCACCUAUGCACACCACGUCCAACACUUGCCAAAACUUCGUCCCUCGUUUUCUCUGUUUUUCGCACACUCGACAUUGUGUGGGCAUUUUGAAAAUAGCAUAUCUUUUUGACUGUGCAUCAUAUGAAGAUGUGCGAUGCAUGAAUGUUGAUCAGCAUGAUGUUAACUGGCUGGUAGUUCCACUUUCGACCAUGAAUAAAACUUCCAACAUGAUGGUAUCCCUGUUUGAAAAGGGCGAGUUAAUAUAAAUGCUCUGCCUCUGAAACUUGCAGUUUCUUAUCUGAAACUGAAACUUGCAGUUUCUUCUCUGAGAAUCACAUUGUCUGCACUUCUGUAUGAAACCACAUUUUAAGUGCUAAAAAUAGAUCUCUGGAAUUCAUAAAAUACUCCAUAUGCUCAAUACUGCAAAUCUGAAAUUCAAAAGACAUUCAUAUCUGAAAGUACUCUCAAAAUACACAACACAAAACACAAUUCACAACCUGCAAAUACUGACAAACCUAAGCUCCUCCUGACAAUUCACAUCCUUCCCGACUAUUGGGUUGGGGGGCAGCCCCCUCCUAUUCCUCGGCGGCAGACAACCGCCCCGUGAGACGAUGUGAACAGUGAGCGAGAGGAUGGCGGGGAAGCAUUGUCGGGCCAACUGCUUUCCAUCUCUUGCAGUUUGGUUCAGUCGACGAAGACUCCAGCGGCUUGCUCUGGCACGACACCCUCACAAACGGCACCCUGUAGAUGCUCAAUCCUUCAAUCUCUGGUGGAUGCUCAAUCUGGGAUCGAUACUCCCACCACCGCUGCCUCAUGAUCGGAUUAGGUGAAUCUGUUUGCUCCAUGGCCCAGAGGAGCGGCUCUAUGUACUCCCGCGCGAGUCCCUCCGGGAGUAUCGCCGCCUUUUCAGUAUGUUGCAAAUAUUUGGCCAUGGAUGUCACCGUCGCCGCUAGUUGGUCCUUGCUGUCAAACCAAGAUUGUAUCUCCAACAUCCUAGCUAGCUUCAUAGGGUCGCCGUCUGCGAUCCUCACGUAUUGGUUGUAUUCCUCCAUCGAUCUACUUCUCCACAGCACCUUCACUUGCCGAUGGUGGUUUUUGAACGGAAGAGGAGAGGAGCGGCGUUGGUUUUGGAUUAGAACGGGAGCGGAGCGGAGCUGGUUCUGGAUUGGAAUAGGAGAGGCGGGCGGUGGUUUUUGUCGGUGUUUUGGGAAUGGGGGUCCCCAGACUUGCCUGCCUGCAGCCCGCGGCGUGGCGGAGCCUGCAGGCCGUACGGCCCAUCUUCGUCAACAAGGCACCCAAGACCCUCGCGAGGGUCCAAGCCUCACGAGGCGGACGAUGCAAGACCUCCUUUGGAGUUGCCGAGCCAGGCAGGCUCACGAGGAGCGGAGAUAUCAAGGCGGGGCAAAACCUCAUGAGGCUCUCGUGACGUGAGCCAUGACAAUCGACACCAGGCGGGCGCCAGGCGGGCGCCAGCGCGCGCAGUGUCCUUGUUUCCUCUUUGGUGCAAAGGGGGCAAGCGCAGCUGCAGAGUACCGAGGCAUCAGGCAAAGGUUGCCAUUUUGAUGCAACAAGACCAAGACUAGAAGGACGGCAAAAUGGAGGUCAUCAUGGAGCCCAAGACGGCAUCACCACCAGAGCCUUUCACAGGCGCAGACUACCUUUUGUUAGGAUAGCUUGUACUAGUUGUCCCCCUUCAAAUUAGCCCGCCAUUGUUGGCUCCCUUCCCGCUCAAUAUUUGGGAAGAGGACCAGGGCCUGUAUAAGUCGAGCUAGCCACCAUAGUAGGGAGGGGAGAUGGAUCGGACCCAGAUAUACACACAAGUCCGAAAGCACAAGAACACCUCAACCUCAGGAGGUUGUUCUUCCCCUUGUAUUGUUCAUGAUCAGCCCAAGAGGCAAUCCACCACCACCACACUGCAGUAGGGUAUUACACCAAAACGGUGGCCCGAACCAGUAUAAACCCCGAGUCUUUCUGUGUUGUGAGUUCGUCGAGUUCGUCCGCAAGAUCUUAGCGAGCUAGAGCGUAGAUCGGUAGGAGGGAAAGACUUCACGCGCACCCAGUGUUCGAACCUUAAGGGUUAGCCGGAACCCCACAUCCGACAUUUGGCGCGCCAGGUAGGGGUGCACCGGGGCUCCUCUCCACCAACCUGCGCCCCGCGCCAUCGCACUUCGCUCCCAUGGCAGGUGCCCUGCCACCCACCUCUGCGACUGACACCAGCAACAGGGAGUCUGGGUACCGAGCCCUGGCCCUAGCCCUGCGCCGAGUGUAGUGGCCAACCAAGUUCAAGCCGGAGAUGCCGUCGUGUUACGACGGUGCGGCAGACCCGGCGCCGUUCCUGCUGGCGUGCGAGGAGGCCGUCCUCGAAGCCAGGGGUGACGACAAGAUCAUGGCCAACUUGUUCCCCAUGGCCCUUGCCGGCGAGCCGCGCGCCUGGCUGCUCAACCUCCCGGGAUCCACAGUGGCAUCCUGGGGGGAACUCCGCGACCUCUUCACCGCGCGCUAUGCGGUGCCGGCGCACCACGCAGUCGCGGCACUUCUGGGUGGCUCUCAAGGACCACCUUCAGAUCGCCACGUCAAACCUUUCUUGCGUCAUAUUGGGGCAGCCACCAGGCGCCCGAAGGCUCCGCCGGGUUGGGCCGCGCCGGAGGCCGACCUCACCUUCAGCUCGGAAGACCACCCUGAGUCCACCGCCGGCUCCGGGAUGCUCCCGAUGCUCUGCACGCACACCAUCUGCAAUGUGGCCGUCACCAAGACCCUCGUCAACGGCGGCGCCGGCCUCAACUUGCUCUCCGUAGAAGCCUUCAGCCUUCUUCAUGUGCCGCUCGAGUGGCUCGGCCUCAGCAAGCCCUUCAUGGGAGUAGGUGGUGGAGCUGCCCACUCUCUGGGGCAGAUUCGCCUCCCUGUCACCUUUGCAUGCGAGACAACUAUCGCACCGAGCUGGUGGACUUUGACAUCACUCGCAUCAGUCUCCCAUACAACGCCAUCCUCAGGUACCCGGCUCUCGCUCAGUUUAUGUUGGCGACUCACCUGGCCUACAACCUCAUGAAGAUGCCAGGGAGCAAGGGCGUCCUCACCAUCAAGGGGGACACUAAGGAGGCCGUGACGGUGCUCAGGCUCGCCUUCAAGACCACGGCAGCGACACAGCCAGACGGCACCGGUGCGCCCGAGGCAUAGGAGACCACGCCCACCAAGAAGAGGCGACUGUUCACCCAAGACAAGGCGGAGACCAAGCAGGUGCCGGGCAACGAGGACGGGUCUUUAGGAGCCACCUUCACCAUAGGAACCGGCUUUGACCCGGGACAAGAAGAAGCUUUGGUGAGGUUUUUGCGCGCGAACAAGGAGAUAUUUGCGUGGGAGCCUAGCAUAUGAAAAAUUUAACCCAUUCUUUCGUUUUUUUAGCUCACUGGCCAUCCACUGGCAGUUUCGGGCUUAAUACCGAUAUUUUAGCAACAAAUCUAAUAAAUCUAACUGUAGUUGUUGGUGUUUUGAUUUUUUUUGGAAAGGGAGUGUGUGCGAGUUGUCUAUUUCAAGAAUAGAUUGGAUCUAUCCGGCUGCACUUUAUAAUAUUUUUUAGUAUUUUUCGGUAG